GCUAACACUUGCUUUUAUAUAUAUUUAUUCAUUUUCAAAGCAAUCAAAUUAGGGUUGUAUAGCUCAACUGCUUAUUAUCCGGCGAAGCGAAUUCAUCACUUUCCGGCGAGGUACUGUUUUGAUUCAGAGAGUUUUUGUGCUUGAAGAUGUAGCUUUGGAUGAAGUUUGCCUUAGCGAUGAUCAUAUAGUGCUACAUCCUAGUUGUGAACAUGCCAAUGAAGUUUCUCUCCCAGACUGAUAGCCGUAAGAAAUCCCGGUGUGAAAUAAUUGGUUUAUUAAGAACCAUAGGAGCAAUCUACUCUUAAAUAUAAUAAUCAGCAAAAGGCCAAAGAAGUUCCUCCUUUAUAUAGUACAAUGAUGGAGAAGGACUCGAGGGCUGGUAGGCUUGAUUGCGUGUUCCCUUCUAAACAUGAUAAGGACUCUGUUGAAGAAGUUUCAAGUUUAUCAUCUGAAAAUACUAGGACAUCCAAUGAUUGCUCCAGAAGUAACAAUGUAGACUCCAUUAGCGGUGAGGUCCAGCCCAAUAACCCCAUUCUGGAUGACAAGAAUUCUGCAGUUAGGGACAACUUGCAUAGCUAUCCUCUUGGUCCCGUUUCUCAGGCAGAUGAUGAUCUUGGUUUUCUUGAUAGUAAUCAUGAGGAUAAAAGUACUACCGAGCUCUUAUAUUAUAACUGGCCUGAGAUGGAAAACUUUGAGGAUGUUGACAGGAUGUUCAGAAGUUGUGAUUCAACAUUUGGAGUUGGAGCUAGUAUCGAAGAUGACCUUGGUUGGUUUUCGUCAUCUGGUGUUAUUGAAGGAUCUGGAGGUGGAUUGAGGUCAGAUUUUGAGUUUCCCUUCUCAACAUCCAGUGAACUUGAAAAUAUCUCUGGAAUGCAGGAAGCUUCCAGGCCAAAGGAAACAGGCAGUUCAAUUAAUGAUUCUGGCACUAAAGAUCAACUCUUCUGUCAAACUGUCUGUUCAAUGCCAUCAGAGGAUGAAUCAGCCGUUCUGAGUCAUCUAUCUUUUGCAAAUGGUUCAAGUGAUUCAGAUUUCAAGACAGUGCCCAAAAAGAAGAUUAAUCUUCACAAAAUUAACUCUAAGCUCCAGAAUCAAUCUGAGGGAAAAAGAAAACAUGUUUACAUGGAAAAUGGGGAGACAUUCAACUAUAUUGAUAGCCUUCCAGAAGAGAGAAACCAUCCUACUGCAAUCACUGGAUCUCAGGCUCUCACAUCCACAGGUAUUCAGCAGCACAAGCAAGUUGAUGGAUCUGAUUUUGGGUAUUUUCAGGAUGGCUUUUCUUACUUAUCUUCAGAUUACAGUCAUUCAGAUCAGACUACGGUUUGUCCAACCCUAUCCACAAUCAAAUCUAAAAAAAGCAGUCUCGCGACUCUUUCUGCUAAGGACUCCUGUGCGACAAAUCAGAUGCAGUUGAUGGAAAGCUUACCUGAUCCUUCUUUUCAGGUGGCUGAUAUAGGAACAAAUGAAAAUAUGGUGGACAAGCUACUUCAACGUUCUGUAAUUAAGCAUGAAAACAACAGGGAUCUUGAAAGUGUCAGCACGGGAAUUCCAGCAGAAGUAGGUUCCUCUAUUGUAAAGGAGAGCUCUUGCACAAGUUCUGGGUUGAAUGAAAUUUCUGAGGAGGCAGAUAGUUUUCAUCAGCUUGAACAUGUCAUGGAACGGAUAGCAAUGCAGAGAGCUGAUUGCUUAUUUAGUACAACAGACAGCCUUAAUAUAAAAGCUGUUCCUCAUCAUCUUGCUGCUUGCUUAUUUUAAAUUAUUAAUCAGCGGAUGUGCAAAAGCCUUCCAAAGUCUGACAUAACGUUGAGUGUCUUGAAACUAUCUUUGUGUUAUUCCUGUAAACUUGGGCUAGGAAGGGGCAGUUAGCAGAUUUGGUAUGUGGUUCUUCAAGUUUGUACAUUUAGUUGGAAAUCAACUUUCUUUUCAGUACAUGCAUGUUUGUUAGCUCACUCUGUUGAGCCUUCUGGUUUAGUUGGAUGUAAAAACAAAGCUACGCAUAAGGGAUAGCUUGUAUCGGUUGGCUCAGAGUGCUGAACAAAGGCUUAGACAUGCUAAUCUCAAUAAUGGAUCUGGUGAUGAUAGACACACAAGCAGAGCAUUUGAUGACGAUGGAGCAUACAGGUGCACAGGAUAUUUGGACAUGGAGACAGACACUAACUCUAUAGAUCGAUCUAUUGCUCACUUACUCUUCCACAGGCCUUCAAACUCAUCUGUGAUGACCGAUUCUUUGGCUUUGGAGUCACCUUCCACGAUUUUCGAGACAUUACUCAGCCCACCAAUGAUUGAUGAGAACUUGAUUUCUGCUGGAUAAAAUGCAGCCGAACCAGAUAAAGGCAUGAAAUAUUAAACAGGCUUCUAUACAAAUGGGUUGUGUUUAUUUCAAUUUAUGUCGCAUGGACUCGCCUACAUGUAUGUGCAUGUAAGUGUCUGCUAUGGAUACUUAUAUACUUUUUUGUUGUUUAGUGUAAUUCGAAGAAUCUACACAGUAUGAGAAUGAGGGUCUAUGUCAAAUAGCUUACAGUUACGUGUUUGUGUAUGAAAAUUAUCAAGAAUCUCAAAUGAGAAAUUAUUUCAUGUUUAUAACACGCUCGUGUGUUUCAUGAUUUUGAUGUUUUA
Molecule: RNA transcript, 2613 nt
Organism: Solanum pennellii
Lineage: Eukaryota; Viridiplantae; Streptophyta; Magnoliopsida; Solanales; Solanaceae
Gene name: protein LNK1-like
Exons: 7
Source: RefSeq, a predicted model, not a curated record